CUAGCAUAUCAAUAAGCGGAGGAAAAGAAACCAACCGGGAUUGCCUUAGUAACGGCGAGUGAAGCGGCAAAAGCUCAAAUUUGAAAUCUGGCGUCUUCGACGUCCGAGUUGUAAUUUGAAGAAGGCAACUUUGUAGCUGGUCCUUGUCUAUGUUCCUUGGAACAGGACGUCAUAGAGGGUGAGAAUCCCGUGUGGCGAGGAUCCCAGUUAUUUGUAAAGUGCUUUCGACGAGUCGAGUUGUUUGGGAAUGCAGCUCUAAGUGGGUGGUAAAUUCCAUCUAAAGCUAAAUAUUGGCGAGAGACCGAUAGCGAACAAGUACAGUGAUGGAAAGAUGAAAAGAACUUUGAAAAGAGAGUGAAAAAGUACGUGAAAUUGUUGAAAGGGAAGGGCAUUUGAUCAGACAUGGCGUUUGCUUCGGCUUUCGCUGGGCCAGCAUCAGUUUUAGCGGUUGGAUAAAUCCUCGGGAAUGUGGCUCUGCUUCGGUAGAGUGUUAUAGCCCGUGGGAAUACAGCCAGCUGGGACUGAGGAUUGCGACUUUUGUCAAGGAUGCUGGCGUAAUGGUUAAAUGCCGCCCGUCUUGAAACACGGACCAAGGAGUCUAACGUCUAUGCGAGUGUUUGGGUGUAAAACCCGUACGCGUAAUGAAAGUGAACGUAGGUGAGGGCCCGCAAGGGUGCAUCAUCGACCGAUCCUGAUGUCUUCGGAUGGAUUUGAGUAAGAGCAUAGCUGUUGGGACCCGAAAGAUGGUGAACUAUGCCUGAAUAGGGUGAAGCCAGAGGAAACUCUGGUGGAGGCUCGUAGCGGUUCUGACGUGCAAAUCGAUCGUCGAAUUUGGGUAUAGGGGCGAAAGACUAAUCGAACCAUCUAGUAGCUGGUUCCUGCCGA
This 885-nucleotide ribosomal RNA is filed under the name Kluyveromyces lactis. Its description in RNAcentral is "LSU rRNA". It matches the Rfam family "Eukaryotic large subunit ribosomal RNA", at positions 34 to 964 of the family's 3401-position model. Lineage: Eukaryota; Fungi; Ascomycota; Saccharomycetes; Saccharomycetales; Saccharomycetaceae. The record is from RNAcentral.